GGUCAGUGUCAUACCACCCUGAACACCACCAAUCUCCUGAUUUUGGAAGCUAAGUAAGGUCAGGCCAGGUUAGGACUUGGAUACAAGAUUCCCUGAGAAUGCCAGGUGCUGUACUCU
RNAcentral lists this ribosomal RNA (117 nucleotides) under Octodon degus (degu). Lineage: Eukaryota; Metazoa; Chordata; Mammalia; Rodentia; Octodontidae. The record is from RNAcentral.